This 789-nucleotide ribosomal RNA is filed under the name Bacillus pumilus. RNAcentral describes it as "bacterial SSU rRNA". It matches the Rfam family "Bacterial small subunit ribosomal RNA", at positions 398 to 1180 of the family's 1533-position model. Lineage: Bacteria; Bacillati; Bacillota; Bacilli; Caryophanales; Bacillaceae. The record is from RNAcentral.
CGCGUGAGUGAUGAAGGUUUUCGGAUCGUAAAGCUCUGUUGUUAGGGAAGAACAAGUGCAAGAGUAACUGCUUGCACCUUGACGGUACCUAACCAGAAAGCCACGGCUAACUACGUGCCAGCAGCCGCGGUAAUACGUAGGUGGCAAGCGUUGUCCGGAAUUAUUGGGCGUAAAGGGCUCGCAGGCGGUUUCUUAAGUCUGAUGUGAAAGCCCCCGGCUCAACCGGGGAGGGUCAUUGGAAACUGGGAAACUUGAGUGCAGAAGAGGAGAGUGGAAUUCCACGUGUAGCGGUGAAAUGCGUAGAGAUGUGGAGGAACACCAGUGGCGAAGGCGACUCUCUGGUCUGUAACUGACGCUGAGGAGCGAAAGCGUGGGGAGCGAACAGGAUUAGAUACCCUGGUAGUCCACGCCGUAAACGAUGAGUGCUAAGUGUUAGGGGGUUUCCGCCCCUUAGUGCUGCAGCUAACGCAUUAAGCACUCCGCCUGGGGAGUACGGUCGCAAGACUGAAACUCAAAGGAAUUGACGGGGGCCCGCACAAGCGGUGGAGCAUGUGGUUUAAUUCGAAGCAACGCGAAGAACCUUACCAGGUCUUGACAUCCUCUGACAACCCUAGAGAUAGGGCUUUCCCUUCGGGGACAGAGUGACAGGUGGUGCAUGGUUGUCGUCAGCUCGUGUCGUGAGAUGUUGGGUUAAGUCCCGCAACGAGCGCAACCCUUGAUCUUAGUUGCCAGCAUUCAGUUGGGCACUCUAAGGUGACUGCCGGUGACAAACCGGAGGAAGGUGGGGAU